This 413-nucleotide long non-coding RNA is filed under the name Helianthus annuus (common sunflower). RNAcentral's name for it is "sRNA HanXRQr2_Chr09g0394191". The record is from RNAcentral. Lineage: Eukaryota; Viridiplantae; Streptophyta; Magnoliopsida; Asterales; Asteraceae.
UUCUAAACCCUAGCAGCCUCCCUCCCACACAAUUCCUGCAGAUCCAUUUGUUGACGAGUUUCAAAGGUUAGUACACCAUAUUCUUUUGUCUCCCAAUCAUCUCUUUAUUCUCAAAUAAAAUCCCUAAAUUGCUCAUCCUCAUCUGCCGACUAUCACAUACAUCGUUCUAAACCCUAGCCUCUCCUUCACCCCCUAUCUAUCUAUUGCAAUCGGUUUACAUGGAUUAGAUUAAAUCAGACGAAUCAUUCCCAUUUCGAUCAGUGGCGAUCAUGUCUGGAAAGUAGCGGGUGCGUGUGGUGUGUUAUGUUUGGUUGUAGGUCUCCUUAAAGUUUAUCUUACGUUGUAGGAUUUCCAAGAACACUUGAAGAUCUUCAUCUUCUUAGUUCAGGUUAAUGAAGUCAUGGUCGAUCUGA